UCCCUCAGAGGAGGCCUGUGCUGACGCUGCUUCCUAAGUGUCUCGGAGGCCCCAGAAUGUGACCCCAUUAACCUCUAGGGGUGGAGACCCUCAGAGCCAGCCAAGGUGGAGGGGACAGGAAACACUGAUAUGCACACUAACGCUCUUCCCCCACGGGCCUCUCCCCUCAGAAGCAAGUGCUCAGGAAAGUCAAGACAGCAGAGCUGUUGCUGUCAUGAGGUACGCGGACAGCCGGCAGCUGCCCCCCCAGGGUGACACCGCAGACGAUUCUGAAGAAUUGAAGCCUGAAGGGACUCCAGGGUCUGGACAGGACUCUGCAGAGGCAGCUGGCAGAGAACGGUCUUCAGAUCAGACAGAGACACAUCCCUUUGUUAGUGACACUUUGCCCUCUGGCUUCUGUGCUCUAUUGUAACAGAGAGAAAGGGAACCCCUUGACUUAAUUUUUCCCUUAUCUCAGUUUUAUGGUAACAAAGUAAAGUAACUUCAUUUUUCAGCUCAAAACUUCUUCAGCUGCAUCUCUUCCUCACUGUCCCUUUGAGAAUAAAAGUCUACAAAUGAAACACAAUCCUGACAAGUUUGGAAAAUGUGCUUUUACAGUCUCAGUUCAAAGCCAGUCCCUAU
Molecule: non-coding RNA, 621 nt
Organism: Miniopterus natalensis
Lineage: Eukaryota; Metazoa; Chordata; Mammalia; Chiroptera; Miniopteridae
Source: RefSeq, a predicted model, not a curated record